Molecule: non-coding RNA, 24 nt
Filed under: Drosophila melanogaster (fruit fly)
Lineage: Eukaryota; Metazoa; Arthropoda; Insecta; Diptera; Drosophilidae
Also listed under: 5 other names
Source: RNAcentral
GUGGUUCAGUGGUAGAAUUCUCGC